Molecule: non-coding RNA, 115 nt
Organism: Triticum urartu
Lineage: Eukaryota; Viridiplantae; Streptophyta; Magnoliopsida; Poales; Poaceae
Source: Rfam
GUUGUACUCCCUCCAUCCAGAAAUACUUAUCGGAGAAAUAGAUGUAUCUAAACGUAUUUUAAUUCUACAUACAUCCAUUUUUACGAUAAGUAUUUCCGGACGGAGGGAGUACACA